This is a long non-coding RNA of Tachysurus fulvidraco (yellow catfish), 517 nucleotides long. RefSeq lists it as uncharacterized. NCBI's taxonomy places the organism in Eukaryota, Metazoa, Chordata, Actinopteri, Siluriformes, Bagridae. The record is from RefSeq and is a predicted model, not a curated record. The transcript has 3 exons.
GGUGACGUCUGGAGCCGAGCGGCUGCGAGCGGCAGUGGUGUUGUAGCUUUGGUGGAGAGAGAAGCAGGAGCAUGACAGAGAUUCAAAGGGAGAAGGUGAAGCAUUGCAGCGUGGGAUGGAGGGAUGAAUGCUUUUCUUCCAUUAGAAAGUGAAUGUUGCAGGGAACAAGCUGGAUUAAAAGCAUCCACACACCUGAACCUCAUCUCUUCUGAAGGACUUUUAGGUCAGAUGAAGGUCUGCAGAUCCAGAUGUUCACACUUUAAAUCCAAUCAUUUCUAGUAAAUACUUGGAAACAUUUCCACACUCGCACGCCAAACUCAUGCCUAAUUAUUGGAUUUGCAUAUUCCUGCUCUUAAAGCCACGCUAAACAGCUGGAACAGGUCGAAAUGUAAUGGGGAAAAAUAGAGUAAUGUUUUUGGUUGGGGUUCUAAAUGGAACCUAAGUGGAUUCCACUAGAAGAACAAUCCAUGAUGUUCCUUCAACUGUGUUUUCUUUAAAAUAAAACUGAACUUGAUUA